UUGACCUCGGAUCAGGUAGGAAUACCCGCUGAACUUAAGCAUAUCAAUAAGGCGGAGG
This 58-nucleotide ribosomal RNA is filed under the name Fusarium asiaticum. Its description in RNAcentral is "partial 28S ribosomal RNA". Lineage: Eukaryota; Fungi; Ascomycota; Sordariomycetes; Hypocreales; Nectriaceae. The record is from RNAcentral. RNAcentral also lists the same sequence under 1 other name.